RNAcentral lists this ribosomal RNA (253 nucleotides) under uncultured bacterium. RNAcentral describes it as "partial 16S ribosomal RNA". It matches the Rfam family "Bacterial small subunit ribosomal RNA", at positions 524 to 776 of the family's 1533-position model. The record is from RNAcentral.
UACGUAGGGAGCAAGCGUUGUCCGGAAUCAUUGGGCGUAAAGCGCGCGUAGGUGGCCUCAUAAGUCCGCUGUGAAAGUCAAAGGCUCAACCUUUGAAAGCCGGUGGAUACUGUGAGGCUAGAGUACGGAAGAGGCGAGUGGAAUUCCUGGUGUAGCGGUGAAAUGCGUAGAUAUGCGGAGGAACACCGAUGGCGAAGGCAAUCCCCUGGACCUGUACUGACGCUCAUGCACGAAAGCGUGGGGAGCAAACAGG